Molecule: long non-coding RNA, 539 nt
Organism: Girardinichthys multiradiatus
Lineage: Eukaryota; Metazoa; Chordata; Actinopteri; Cyprinodontiformes; Goodeidae
Exons: 3
Source: RefSeq, a predicted model, not a curated record
CAUGAACAAGACUCCCUGCCUGUCUCCAGCUUCCUUCCCUUCAUAAAUCCUUAUAUGAGCAUGAGAAGCAACUGAGGUUGGAAUUUGUUGCUCUGCUUCCAAAAAGGAUUCAGAAAUAGCAGCAAAAAAUGCCAAAAAUACCCAAGAAGAACAUGAAAACAACCAAUAAAAGCAACUCAUAGAUGGCUAAGCAAAUCUAAAGCUGCGAGCAUGAUAGCUGGAUGGAUGGUUGAACUGCCAAGUGCCUCCAUUUGUUGAAAGACCCCGAUGCUGCGACUGCGCCUGGAUCCAGCCGAGCAACUGCAGUUCAGCUGUGGCUUCAAACAGCAUCUUUAAUGCAUCUUUUCUGACAUCUUGCUGUCGGCAGACUGCUUCAGAACAUGACAGCUUUAUACCAACUCAUCCACAGAUACACAUGGAGAAUCUCAAAUAAGAAUCCACAUAUCUAAUAAUCUGCAAACUGGCUGUUUUCCCCAUAAAUCAGCGAUUAAAAGGUCAGUACUUAACCAAUGUCUGACAAAUAAAUGUAAUAAAUGUUA